Molecule: non-coding RNA, 73 nt
Organism: Trichonephila clavipes
Lineage: Eukaryota; Metazoa; Arthropoda; Arachnida; Araneae; Nephilidae
Source: the annotation of a GenBank genome assembly
GUCUCUGUAGAACAAUGGUUGGCGCGUUGAACUUCUACUCCAAAGGUCGUGGAUUCGAUUCCUACCUGGGAUG